Molecule: long non-coding RNA, 607 nt
Organism: Psammomys obesus (fat sand rat)
Lineage: Eukaryota; Metazoa; Chordata; Mammalia; Rodentia; Muridae
Exons: 3
Source: RefSeq, a predicted model, not a curated record
GGCCUCGGCAUGUAUUGGGGGAGGGGGUUGGAAGUCGGCCACGCCUUAUUCACGACAGCAUUCGCGUGUGCACGCUGCAGAGCUCCAAGAGAAGAAACCGAGGGGGCUGCUGGCGAAGGCUGCUAGCAGCCUCUGCAGAGAGAGGAUUUCAAGACAGAGUCUCCAGAAAGUGGUAGCACACGCCUUUAAUCUCAGCACUUGGGAAGCAGAGGCGGCAGGUGUGGGAUGGUGGAUUGAGUCAGGUGGUCCACAGCAGCAGACUAUUUGCUUGGUGCAGCCUCUGAGAGGAGCUCUUUGCCAGUUGCAGAGAGUUUAAAUCUGAGAACUGUGGAGAAAGAAUAAAUGCCAAAGGCGGGAGAGUGUGGAGGUCAGUGAGAGAACAAGACUGCUCCUGCUUCUCCCUUGCUGUUCCUGGUUGCUGUUGUGAGACAAGAAGUUGGAGAUCUCCUGAAAUGAGGAUUGGACUGGCUCCAAGGAACAGGAUGACCCUAACCAGCAGGAAGCAGCUAAGAGAACUGUUCCCCCUCUCCCACUAACCCUUUCUCUACUCUACCUGGUGUUAGGGUGUUGGAAGGGAUUGGGGUGGAGAAGGGAGAAAAGGCAAAUA